Non-coding RNA from Kogia breviceps (pygmy sperm whale), 308 nucleotides. NCBI's taxonomy places the organism in Eukaryota, Metazoa, Chordata, Mammalia, Artiodactyla, Physeteridae. The record is from RefSeq and is a predicted model, not a curated record.
AAGCCAUAAGAUCCUGUAUCCCAAGGGAGCCUAGCGACAUGUUGGAUGCAUUCAUCUCCAGUUGUAUCCAGUCAGUGCACAAAGUGGUCCAUAGGACAGAGACAGUGAUCUUUCAGGAAGAUGACAAAAGAGGCCACAGACAUUAGCCAGCAAUCCAGAAAAUCACUGGUCAUCACUGUGGGAGUGAGAGUCAACAGACUAGAGGAAGAAGCAGCAGCUGGUAAAGAAAAGGCAGGCAAAUAGACUAACUGGAAAACAUGAAAGAAAUCUCACUCUGAUGAAUUAGGACAAGACUGCAGCUCCAGGCA